RNAcentral lists this ribosomal RNA (274 nucleotides) under uncultured bacterium. Its description in RNAcentral is "partial 16S ribosomal RNA". It matches the Rfam family "Bacterial small subunit ribosomal RNA", at positions 523 to 796 of the family's 1533-position model. The record is from RNAcentral.
AUACAGAGGGUGCGAGCGUUAAUCGGAAUUACUGGGCGUAAAGCGCGCGUAGGCGGCUUAUUAAGUCAGAUGUGAAAUCCCCGGGCUCAACCUGGGAACUGCAUCUGAUACUGGUAAGCUAGAGGUUUGGAGAGGGAAGUAGAAUUUCAGGUGUAGCGGUGAAAUGCAUAGAGAUCUGAAGGAAUACCAGUGGCGCAGGCGACUUCCUGGCCAAAACCUGACGCUGAGGUGCGAAAGCGUGGGUAGCAAACGGCAUUAGAAACCCUAGUAGUCC